This 493-nucleotide ribosomal RNA is filed under the name uncultured bacterium. RNAcentral's name for it is "partial 16S ribosomal RNA". It matches the Rfam family "Bacterial small subunit ribosomal RNA", at positions 28 to 507 of the family's 1533-position model. The record is from RNAcentral.
GACGAACGCUGGCGGCGUGCUUAACACAUGCAAGUCGAACGGUGGAGGGACCGGUUUUUGCUGGUUCUGGAUGAGUGGCGAACGGGUGAGUAACACGUGAGUAACCUGCCCCCUUCUUCUGGAUAACCGCAUGAAAGUGUGGCUAAUACGGGAUAUUCUGCGCCUGCUGCAUGGUGGGUGUGGGAAAGAUAUUGUUUCGGUGGGGGAUGGGCUCGCGGCCUAUCAGCUUGUUGGUGGGGUGAUGGCCUACCAAGGCGGUGACGGGUAGCCGGCCUGAGAGGGUGGACGGUCACACUGGGACUGAGACACGGCCCAGACUCCUACGGGAGGCAGCAGUGGGGAAUAUUGCACAAUGGGCGCAAGCCUGAUGCAGCGACGCCGCGUGAGGGAUGGAGGCCUUCGGGUUGUAAACCUCUUUCGCCAGUGAAGCAGGCCUGUCCCUUUUGUGGGUGGGUUGACGGUAGCUGGAUAAGAAGCGCCGGCUAACUACGUG